Molecule: small nucleolar RNA, 137 nt
Organism: Girardinichthys multiradiatus
Lineage: Eukaryota; Metazoa; Chordata; Actinopteri; Cyprinodontiformes; Goodeidae
Product: small nucleolar RNA SNORA5
Exons: 1
Source: RefSeq, a predicted model, not a curated record
GGCAAACUUGUCAAAUUCAGUGCUUCCUUCUCUCUGGAUGUCUCUGGCCAAAGUGGUUGCAACAGUGACUGUGUAGUUCAUGGGCCCCGUGGUGUUUCAACAUGGCCACUGGGGAUAAAUAUGUGCUGCACACAAAA